Molecule: ribosomal RNA, 496 nt
Filed under: uncultured bacterium
Lineage: Bacteria
Description: bacterial SSU rRNA
Rfam family: Bacterial small subunit ribosomal RNA
Source: RNAcentral
AGAGUUUGAUCAUGGCUCAGGAUGAACGCUAGCGGCAGGCCUAAUACAUGCAAGUCGAACGCUCAGUAGCAAUACUGGGAGUGGCGCACGGGUGCGUAACGCGUACACAAUCUACCUCUAAGCGGGGGACACCUCCUGGAAACGGGGAUUAAUACCGCAUAAAAUGCCGAGGUCGCAUGACUUUGGUAUUAAAGCAGCAAUGCACUUAGAGAUGAGUGUGCGUCCCAUUAGGUAGUUGGUGAGGUAACGGCUCACCAAGCCUAUGAUGGGUAGCCGGUCUGAGAGGAUGGUCGGCCACACGGGCACUGAGACACGGGCCCGACUCCUACGGGAGGCAGCAGUAAGGAAUAUUGGUCAAUGGUGGAAACACUGAACCAGCCAUGCCGCGUGGAGGAAUAAGGUCCUACGGAUUGUAAACUCCUUUUGACGAGGAAGAAAGUGUUAGAUUUAUCUAAUUUUGACGGUACUCGUAGAAUAAGCACCGGUUAACUCCGUG